Molecule: ribosomal RNA, 844 nt
Filed under: Heterodera goettingiana
Lineage: Eukaryota; Metazoa; Nematoda; Chromadorea; Rhabditida; Heteroderidae
Description: SSU rRNA
Rfam family: Eukaryotic small subunit ribosomal RNA
Source: RNAcentral
GAAUUUUGGACCGUAGCAAGACGGACUACAGCGAAAGCAUUUGGCAAGAAUGUCUUCAUUAAUCAAGAACGAAAGUCAGAGGUUCGAAGGCGAUCAGAUACCGCCCUAGUUCUGACCGUAAACGAUGCCAACUAGCGAUCCGCCGGCGGAUUCAUUCGCCCUGGUGGGGAGCUUCCCGGAAACGAAAGUCUUCCGGUUCCGGGGGAAGUAUGGUUGCAAAGCUGAAACUUAAAGGAAUUGACGGAAGGGCACCACCAGGAGUGGAGCCUGCGGCUUAAUUUGACUCAACACGGGGAAACUCACCCGGCCCGGACACCGUAAGGAUUGACAGAUUGAUAGCUUUUUCAUGAUUCGGUGGAUGGUGGUGCAUGGCCGUUCUUAGUUCGUGGAGCGAUUUGUCUGGUUUAUUCCGAUAACGAGCGAGACUCUAGCCUACUAAAUAGUUGACUCAUUGCCGCUGUGGGCACAACUUCUUAGAGGGAUUUUCGGUGUUCAGCCGCACGAAAUUGAGCAAUAACAGGUCUGUGAUGCCCUUAGAUGUCCGGGGCUGCACGCGCGCUACACUGGCAAAAUCAGCGUGCUUGUCCUUCCCCGAAAGGGGUUGGUAAACCGGUGAAAAUUUGCCGUGAUUGGGAUCGGACAUUGCAAUUAUUGUCCGUGAACGAGGAAUUCCUUGUAGGGGCGAGUCAUCAACUCGCUCUGAAUACGUCCCUGCCCUUUGUACACACCGCCCGUCGCUGCCCGGGACUGAGCCAUUUCGAGAAACUCGGGGACGAUUAGUGUGUCAGCUUCGGCUGUCGCGCAGAUUGGAACCGAUUUAAUCGCAGUGGCUUGAACCGGGCAA